UGCCCUAGUACGGCGAGUGAAGCGGCAACAGCUCAAAUUUGAAAUCUGGCUCUCGGGCCCGAGUUGUAAUUUGUAGAGGAUGCUUUUGGUGCGGUGCCUUCCGAGUUCCCUGGAACGGGACGCCAUAGAGGGUGAGAGCCCCGUCUGGUUGGAUGCCAAUCCUCUGUAAAGCUCCUUCGACGAGUCGAGUAGUUUGGGAAUGCUGCUCUAAAUGGGAGGUAUAUGUCUUCUAAAGCUAAAUACCGGCCAGAGACCGAUAGCGCACAAGUAGAGUGAUCGAAAGAUGAAAAGAACUUUGAAAAGAGAGUUAAAAAGUACGUGAAAUUGUUGAAAGGGAAGCGCUUGUGACCAGACUUGGGCUUGGUUGAUCAUCCAGGGUUCUCCCUGGUGCACUCUUCCGGCUCAGGCCAGCAUCAGUUUGCCUCGGGGGAUAAAGGCUUCGGGAAUGUGGCUCUCUCCGGGGAGUGUUAUAGCCCGCUGCGUAAUACCCUGUGGCGGACUGAGGUUCGCGCAUUCGCAAGGAUGCUGGCGUAAUGGUCAUCAGUGACCCGUCUUGAAACACGGACCAAGGAGUCGUCUUCGUAUGCGAGUGUUCGGGUGUCAAACCCCUACGCGAAAUGAAAGUGAACGCAGGUGAGAGCUUCGGCGCAUCAUCGACCGAUCCUGAUGUUCUCGGAUGGAUUUGAGUAAGAGCAUACGGAGCCGGACCCGAAAGAAGGUGAACUAUGCCUGUGUAGGGUGAAGCCAGAGGAAACUCUGGUGGAGGCUCGCAGCGGUUCUGACGUGCAAAUCGAUCGUCAAACAUGGGCAUG
This 812-nucleotide ribosomal RNA is filed under the name Fusarium lichenicola. RNAcentral's name for it is "eukaryotic LSU rRNA". It matches the Rfam family "Eukaryotic large subunit ribosomal RNA", at positions 76 to 919 of the family's 3401-position model. The record is from RNAcentral. Lineage: Eukaryota; Fungi; Ascomycota; Sordariomycetes; Hypocreales; Nectriaceae.